This 499-nucleotide ribosomal RNA is filed under the name uncultured bacterium. RNAcentral describes it as "partial 16S ribosomal RNA". It matches the Rfam family "Bacterial small subunit ribosomal RNA", at positions 28 to 523 of the family's 1533-position model. The record is from RNAcentral.
GUUGAAUGCUGGCGGCAUGCCUUACACAAGCAAGUCGAACGGCAGCACGGGAGCAAUCCUGGUGGCGAGUGGCGAACGGGUGAGUAAUAUAUCGGAACGUGCCCAGUCGUGGGGGAUAACGCAGCGAAAGCUGUGCUAAUACCGCAUCCGAUCUACGGAUGAAAGCGGGGAUCGCAAGACCUCGCUCGAUCGCAGCGGCAGAUACCAGAUUAGCUAGUUGGUGAGGUAAAGGCUCACCAAGGCGACGAUCUGGAGCUGGUCUGAGAGGACGACCAGCCACACUGGAACUGAGACACGGUCCAGACUCCUACGGGAGGCAGCAGUGGGGAAUUUUGGACAAUGGGCGAAAGCCUGAUCCAGCAAUGCCGCGUGCAGGAUGAAGGCCUUCGGGUUGUAAACUGCUUUUGUACGGAACGAAACGGUGAGCUCUAAUACAGUUUGCUAAUGACGGUACCGUAAGAAUAAGCACCGGCUAACUACGUGCCAGCCGCCGCGGUAA